CUCAACCAUCUCCGACUCCUAGGCAACGGGCACAGUCUCGACUCCUGGAGUUGGAGCGUUACAUUUACGCCAAUGAAAGGAUUUUGAUGUUCAUAGCCCCUGGUGCGGGGAAGCAUAUUUUGCCACACAUUGUUCGGUUCAACCAAGUGAUAGGCGUAUAUGUGAGAAAGACAUUUCCAAUUUGCUGCCUUAGGUGAAUGGACGUAGAAAAAGAAUAUAUCGAGGUCGUCAAGGGCAACCUAUAGUGUUUUCUCGUGCUUGAUUUCAACGAUCAAGCAACGAAUAGGUUCGUUGAGCAUCAAAUGCUCAGUACUUUUAAAGAGUUUAAGGGUUUCUAUCAAAGGUACUUCCAAAAGUACAAUGAUCCUAAGAAGGCACGUGCUAACCCACCACACAUAUUAGUGGGACGUAUGGAGGAUUAACACUUCUUCUAUGAUCAUUACAUGAUCUGUGCAUUCUAGUUCCAGCCUACCCCAGAUGGUUCUCAACCACUCUCUAGGGACGUAAUAUGCGAUACUGUGUUGGAUAGACGACCGGGCUAUUCAAAGGGCCUUGGUUUGGGACCCAAGCCCAAGUUCUGCAAGACGGCCAAUGCGAGCAAUGCCUCGAACUCGUGUUCGCAAUCCAUGGUAGAGCUCUAAUUACGAGUUGAGUUUGAUGAAGCUAAACAAGCGAUUGAGGAACAGAUAAAGAUACAAGGGAUGUUAGCUUUACAAGUGGAACAAAUGUGAAAGCUCAUAAAAGACAUGAGUAAGGCACAGCAAGGACCACCAUGAUCCCUAGCUUUGCGGUCCUGUAAUGUAGAAUGGUGUACGAGGCUUGUUAGGAGACGUACAUAGUUAUUAUAGAUUUCUAUGUAUUUUUUUAACAUUUACUAUUUUUAUGGAUUUGUAAUAUGAACCUUGUUAAGCUGUAAACAUAUAUAUAUAUAUUUUAAUUUGAUAUUUU
Long non-coding RNA from Cucumis melo (muskmelon), 948 nucleotides. RefSeq lists it as uncharacterized. The record is from RefSeq and is a predicted model, not a curated record. NCBI's taxonomy places the organism in Eukaryota, Viridiplantae, Streptophyta, Magnoliopsida, Cucurbitales, Cucurbitaceae. The transcript is spliced from 4 exons.